UACGGAGGGUGCGAGCGUUAAUCGGAAUUACUGGGCGUAAAGCGCGCGUAGGCGGCUUGUUAAGUCAGCUGUGAAAGCCCCGGGCUCAACCUGGGAACUGCAGUUGAUACUGGCCGACUAGAGUACGAGAGAGGGAGGUAGAAUUCCAUGUGUAGCGGUGAAAUGCGUAGAUAUAUGGAGGAAUACCAGUGGCGAAGGCGGCCUCCUGGCUCGAUACUGACGCUGAGGUGCGAAAGCGUGGGGAGCAAACAGG
This 253-nucleotide ribosomal RNA is filed under the name uncultured bacterium. RNAcentral's name for it is "partial 16S ribosomal RNA". It matches the Rfam family "Bacterial small subunit ribosomal RNA", at positions 524 to 776 of the family's 1533-position model. The record is from RNAcentral.